UGCCAGUUCAAUCAGUAUGACCUAACCCGAUUCAGUGACUUGGUAAAGUCAGUGGGAGGAUUAUGGUCUACUGAUUGAUAUUUUUUUCUCUUUUUUUUAAAAUUGAUUAAAUCUUCUAAAUUAUUAGGUUCCUAAAAUGAGCUAGUUAUAGUGAUAACUAGAUCACAGCCUCCCAUUAAGAUGAAUGGUAAUGGGUUCAUUAUUUAUGAUUGAUAUUGCAGGCACCAUCC
RNAcentral lists this long non-coding RNA (230 nucleotides) under Elaeis guineensis (African oil palm). Its description in RNAcentral is "long non-coding RNA (EGUI_LNC060630)". The record is from RNAcentral. Lineage: Eukaryota; Viridiplantae; Streptophyta; Magnoliopsida; Arecales; Arecaceae.